Molecule: long non-coding RNA, 1281 nt
Filed under: Equus caballus (horse)
Lineage: Eukaryota; Metazoa; Chordata; Mammalia; Perissodactyla; Equidae
Description: lncRNA (ENSECAG00000042006.2)
Source: RNAcentral
UAAGCUGCACCGCUUUGGUCCCUGUGAGGAAGAGUACAACACAGUUGGAGAGAGAAUCCAUCUUCGCUCUUCUUGAAUAAUAGGAAAAAGACGUAAAGCUGUCUUUGCAAGCUGGCGGUCCACAGCUGAAAUUGGCCUAGCAGUCUCUGGAAAGAAAGGCCCUGGACUGGAGACAGUGCUUCCUGGAAUUCAUCCACAGAGGUGUCCACAGGUCUGCCUUGGCUACAGGCUGACUUGCUUCACAGCUAAGGAUAGUUUCUUUCUUUCACCUUGGUUGAGGUUGGCACAGCAACCGACAGCUCUCAAUCAAGCAACCGUCUUGUGAUCCAUCAGCUAGGAGGUAAGACAGCAUAGUGAUAAUGAGUUCAAGAAUUGGCAUCAUUCAGACCCGCAUCCAAAUCCUCACUUACCAGUUACUAGCUGUGUGUUCUGGAGCACAGAGCUCUGAGCCUCAAUUUCUUCAUCUGUUAAAUGAGAAUAUCGAACUCAGUGUGGAGAUGUUAGAGGAUUAAUUGAGAAUGUAUAUCAAGGGCUAUCGCAAAGCCUGACACGUAAGUGCUCAAUGACUAGACAUUGUUUUUAAUGAAGAAAUAUUCCUAAAGGUAGCCUCAACUUUUCAUUCAUCAUGUGUCAAAAGGGUCCCUGUAUUUUCAGAAGAAUCCCGUCCACAAAUCACCAUCAACAAGAGUCAAGAUAUUGUCUGCUUCGGGAGUAUGCUUAGCAUCCUGCAUCCACCAUUUAUCAGGGGCUGAGUGCUUGCCCUAGCUCAGAGGAAGACCACACUCUCAGCAGUUCUCCAUCAGCAGCGUCACAAGGGAGUCAGCACCUUGUAGACCACUAUUUUAUGGAAUCCAAAGUGAGGCCACAUUCAAGAAAGAGCACCCUUCUUUAGAGUGUACUUCCUUCAGUAGGAGUGAAUUAGACACCCCAUUAGGUCCCAAUAUUCCAUUAGGAAUAUUUCUGCUCCUGGAAAGACUCCCUCACCUCUCCUUCCUCUCAACAUUCACAGCAUCACUAUCUGCCUUGGGACUAACAGCAAAAACCUUAUCACGCCCUUUAUCCCUGUUCAUCACAAGAAGUUCAGGACUUCAUCGCUCAUCUCCCCCUUCUUUAAUUCCAUCACCUUCUCUGGCCCAUCUCCUAUGCCUCACCAUCUCUUGAAACUUUCGCUUUGUCUCUGGAAACAUAAAGUCAAUCACUAUCAAAAUGCCCUUUACUCAGAUCUUCUUCUGUGGAUGUUCUCUUCACUUGCUCUGAUCUGCUCUUCUCUUCACAACUCCU